AACGCACGAGACCUGCGGACCUGCGGAGGGAUCAUUACCGAGUGCGCACCUGCAACGGUGCAACCUCCCACCCGUGUCUACGAAUACCCUGUUGCUUUGGCGGGCCCACCGGGAAACCGGUCGCCGGGGGACCUGUCCCCGGGCCCGCGCCCGCCGGAGCGCCUGAAGAACCCUGAUGAAGAUGGACUGUCUGAGCGUGAUUGAUAAUCAUUAAAACUUUCAGCAACGGAUCUCUAGAUC
Molecule: unclassified non-coding RNA, 240 nt
Filed under: soil metagenome
Description: partial contains 5.8S ribosomal RNA, internal transcribed spacer 2, and large subunit ribosomal RNA
Source: RNAcentral